AGGCGACGAUCCCUAGCUGGUCUGAGAGGAUGACCAGCCACACUGGAACUGAGACACGGUCCAGACUCCUACGGGAGGCAGCAGUGGGGAAUAUUGCACAAUGGGCGCAAGCCUGAUGCAGCCAUGCCGCGUGUAUGAAGAAGGCCUUCGGGUUGUAAAGUACUUUCAGCGGGGAGGAAGGGAGUAAAGUUAAUACCUUUGCUCAUUGACGUUACCCGCAGAAGAAGCACCGGCUAACUCCGUGCCAGCAGCCGCGGUAAUACGGAGGGUGCAAGCGUUAAUCGGAAUUACUGGGCGUAAAGCGCACGCAGGCGGUUUGUUAAGUCAGAUGUGAAAUCCCCGGGCUCAACCUGGGAACUGCAUCUGAUACUGGCAAGCUUGAGUCUCGUAGAGGGGGGUAGAAUUCCAGGUGUAGCGGUGAAAUGCGUAGAGAUCUGGAGGAAUACCGGUGGCGAAGGCGGCCCCCUGACGAAGACUACGUCAGUCAAAGCG
Molecule: ribosomal RNA, 492 nt
Filed under: Escherichia sp.
Lineage: Bacteria; Pseudomonadati; Pseudomonadota; Gammaproteobacteria; Enterobacterales; Enterobacteriaceae
Description: bacterial SSU rRNA
Rfam family: Bacterial small subunit ribosomal RNA
Source: RNAcentral